ACACAUGCAAGUCGAACGGAGAUUACGGACGGAAGUUUUCGGAUGGAAGACUGUAAUUCUUAGUGGCGGACGGGUGAGUAACGCGUGGGCAACCUGCCCUAUACAGGGGGAUAGCAGCUGGAAACGGCUGGUAAGACCGCAUAAGUCGGUUAAAUCGCAUGAUUUGAUCGGGAAAUGAGCAAUCAGGUAUAGGAUGGGCCCGCGUCCGAUUAGCCAGUUGGCAGGGUAAAAGCCUACCAAAGCAACGAUCGGUAGCCGGACUGAGAGGUCGGACGGCCACAUUGGGACUGAGACACGGCCCAAACUCCUACGGGAGGCAGCAGUGGGGGAUAUUGCACAAUGGAGGAAACUCUGAUGCAGCGACGCCGCGUGAGUGAAGAAGUAUUUCGGUAUGUAAAGCUCUAUCAGCAGGGAAGAUGAUGACGGUACCUGACUAAGAAGCCCCGGCUAACUACGUGCCAGCAGCCGCGGUAAUACGUAGGGGGCAAGCGUUAUCCGGAUUUACUGGGUGUAAAGGGAGCGCAGGCGGUUUGGCAAGUUGAGAGUGGAAGCAGGGGGCUCAACCCCCUGACUGCUCCCAAAACUGUUAAACUUGAGUAUGGGAGAGGCGGGCGGAAUUCCUAGUGUAGCGGUGAAAUGCUUAGAUAUUAGGAAGAACACCGGUGGCGAAGGCGGCCUGCUGGACCAAAACUGACGCUGAGGCUCGAAAGCGUGGGUAGCAAACAGGAUUAGAUACCCUGGUAGUCCACGCUGUAAACGAUGAAUACUAGGUGCUGGGAGGCAUAAGCCUUUCGGUGCCGUCGC
Molecule: ribosomal RNA, 804 nt
Filed under: uncultured Catonella sp.
Lineage: Bacteria; Bacillati; Bacillota; Clostridia; Lachnospirales; Lachnospiraceae
Description: bacterial SSU rRNA
Rfam family: Bacterial small subunit ribosomal RNA
Source: RNAcentral